GGGUCAGUAGGUUGGUCGUGCCACCGGUACGUACUGGUCUCACUGAUUCCUCCUUCCUGAAGAACCGUAAUGCCAUUAAUUUGGUGUUGCGGGGAAACAGGACCGUUACUUUGAAAAAAUUAGAGUGUUUAAAGCAAGCUAACGCUUGAAUACAUUAGCAUGGAAUAAUGAAAUAGGACGAUCGAUCCUAUUUUGUCGGUUUCUAGGAUUGACGUA
This 216-nucleotide ribosomal RNA is filed under the name Glomeromycotina sp. Its description in RNAcentral is "partial small subunit ribosomal RNA". The stretch from base 44 to 216 matches the Rfam family "Eukaryotic small subunit ribosomal RNA", at positions 690 to 864 of the family's 1831-position model. The record is from RNAcentral. Lineage: Eukaryota; Fungi; Glomeromycota.